Ictidomys tridecemlineatus (thirteen-lined ground squirrel) is the source of this 3194-nucleotide non-coding RNA. The record is from RefSeq and is a predicted model, not a curated record. NCBI's taxonomy places the organism in Eukaryota, Metazoa, Chordata, Mammalia, Rodentia, Sciuridae.
CCGGGCUCCAGCCGUGAGCCCUUGACUUAUGUGCGAGGACCAGAACAAGGGGAGGAAGACUUCUCUGUGGUCCCCUCCUGAUCCAGGAUCUUCAGAUCAACAACAGGAGGUUGAAUGUGUUGGUGAUGGAUAAAUUUGGAUUAGUCAUGGUUCGCUGAGCCAUGAAGAGCUCCAUCCAGACUUAAUAAGUACACAAUCCCAGCCCUCCUCUGGAGUCACAGAUCAGGAAACCAGUCCAGAGAGGGAAGCACCUCGCCUGGAAUCACACAGUCGACACACUCAGGUCAUCCAACGCCGUGAAUUGCUCUUUUGCCUGUUCUACCUGAAGCCCUAGAAUCCUGAUCUUUCAAAACUGGCUGAGGAUGCUGAUUGCCUCAGCUUUGGGCUUAUUCAGGUGCAGCUCUGAAGUCUUCGGUGGAUUCUGCAUUCCCUGGAAGUCAGACCUCUGUUUACCCUGUAAGACUGGUGACAGCUCACAGAGGGACAAGUGUUCUGAGUCGUCCCAUCACAUCUCUGGUUCUGCUGGUCAGGGGUACUAAGGUGGCCUGCCACACUCCCGGGGGUGGGGGUGAGGGAUCUUACUAAAUCAGGCACAAAUUUUCAAAGGCAUCCUGGGUAGCUUUAGAGUUCAUGAAUAGGCUCAGAAACCUCACAACUCCCGGACACACAUAUGUUUGAAAAGUGUCAGGAGAGGGGAUGAAUAAGAAUUUGCAGAGCUUUUCUAAUACGGGGGAAAGACUGUGUUCCAUAAUCCUAGCUGGAACCUAAGGAGUUGGUAACAAUGACAGCCAACAUUACUGUUUAUUAUGAGCUAACUACUCCUAUUAUCCCUGCUUUAUAGGAUGAGGAAACUGGGUCACAUAGAUGUUAAAUGAUUUGCCCAGGAUUAUACGACUGAAAAAUGGCUGAGCAUCUAUGUGUGAGUGGAUGCAGGAGCUGGGAUACUUGACCUUCAGGCUGCGUUCCUCUGCAGACAUGAUGGUAGUUGACAGGUCGACAGUGAGCAUGCAGAAAAGAGACCUGGACAAGCCCCACCUGUGCAGCCUGAGAAGCGCAAGAUGGAAUCAAGUUUAAAAGAGAAAGAAAAGCCCACCUAGGAUCUAAACGGAGAGAAAGUACAAUAGAAAAGCAAUUUGAAAAGUCGGGGUGAGAGAGGGACCCUCAGGAAUGACAGAAGAAAAGAAAACCACAGACGUGUCCGUUGCGGUCCAAACCCACCUCAUCAAAUAGCCCUGGAAUCAGCUUUUAUCAUUACAAGUUAGAGCUGGCUGCAGCCACUGUUUGCGUAGUGUGUGGAUUGAAACUUUAUUGCUUUAUGGAUGCAAUAAAACUCCAGUGAUUAAAGGCAGCAAUGACACUUGUGUCCUGGUGAAGGAGGCCAGAACGCUGGAGCCAAGGCUUUAUCUGAAGCAAAGAUUUGUACUCCGGGAAAAGGAAUCUGUUUCCAUACUUGUGCUGGGAAGACAGCACAGAAAUGGAUGGAGGAUAAGGAUGUUUAAAGGGUCAAGAAAUGAUGAAGGCCAACUUUCUGCCUUGACACCACUGAUGUGCAUAAUACAACGAUCCUAGCUUUCGAUGGGCACCUGCUAUCCUAAGGGGCCAUGGGGGAAUUGUUGAGUGAUGGACUUAAAUGAGAAAAAUAGUAGGUAAUCGAUUGGCACUUCUCUGACCCUUCAAAGUGUGGGAUUGUUCAACAUUGUCGGAGCAUUCUCUUUACUUCUACUAAAAAUUAAGCAAUAGGCUGAAAUCCCUGAAGGGGUUUUAUUUAGAAAUUUGUCAAGAUUUCCCAACUCUUAUGUGAAGGCAAUGCCCUGCCAAGGAGGUUUUGCUGCUCUCUUUGCUUCAAAAUAUUGGUGUUUUUUUUUUUUUAAUGUAGAUCUGUAACAUCUUUUCAGACAUAGCCUAUGGAAAGACUAAAGAUCAGGAUGAAUUAAGAAAACAUUUUCUUUCUUGUUCCUUAGACCAUCUACUUUCUGUACUUUUUGACAUCUACAGUGUAUCAGAACACAAUGCAAAACGCAUGGGAGAGCUGUAUAAAGUACAGGGAGCAGAAGAAUAGCUAGAAAGACAGCUUUUGCAUUUCUCCUUGCCUUCCUUUCUUGGAGACCAUGGAAAGAUCAUUCCACAUCCCUUUUAAGACUGUGGGCCAAGAUUAUGGCAGCUUUGAAACACUUUAUUUUGAACUUCAGCUAUCUGUCCUUGGAUCCCCUCUUCAUUUAGUCCUGAAGAUUUCAUGGCUACUAUAGGCAACUUCAGAACUUUUCAGCACAGCUCAUUAUAGACCCCUAGGUGCACUAAGGUAAGCUGGUGUAAAACACAGAUCCUGUAGUUACCCCAAGGGAUCAAAGAUUUAGACCAGAUCUCAGAUGAACAGGGACCACAAGGUUACAACCACAUCUCAAAGCUUCCAUCUCAACGGGGCUUUGGGUCCUGUGUCUUUCACCUGCUGCUAUACAGCAUUAUUGGGUUUAUCAUCUGACCAAAAUGUAGGCAGAUAUUGAAAAUUAAUGUGAGUACUUCAUCACCAUUAAUCUAACAUCUGCAGAGCUGUGAGAUGGAAAGGAAAAAAUGUGCACUCCAGAAGACAAAGUCUCAUUCUGCCCCCUCUCAGGUGUGUCAUCCUAAGCAGGUUAUUCCAAGGAAGAGACUCAUAUGCCAUGAGGAAGCAUGAGAUAAGUCCAGUAAUGCACCUUUGUGGGUAUGCUCAUCUACUUUUAAGUAUUAUUAAAAUCACUGUGUACCACAAGCCUUACAUGCUCCAGUAGUACAGGCAAAUAAGCUUCUAAGGAACAUGUUUUUCUAAGCUGAUUUCUAUUCUCUCCCUUCACCGUCCAACUCUCUACUCUUUUCCAUCCUGUGCUCAUUAUUGUCAAUUAGACACAGUUUUCACCAACAUUUUUUAGCCAGCAGUUCCUCCCUUGAAUACUUUAUCCCUGCAAGGUUCCCAAACAACUCUAAGCUAGACCUUCAGUACAGACAAUUGUCCUAAGAGACAGUAAAUACCAGCCUACCUGUUGAUAUCCCCAAGGAUGCUGGGGGAGGGGAAGACAAUGGAAGACAUUAAAUUGAGAGUGAGCAGACCUGGGGGUCAUGGUCUGUAAUCUACCACUUAUUAGUUAUGUGACUUUAUUUCUGUUCAUCUCUACUUUAUUCACUAGAAGAUCAGACUAACAAUGCAUGUGUCACUCAGCUCA